Molecule: ribosomal RNA, 250 nt
Filed under: uncultured prokaryote
Description: partial 16S rRNA
Rfam family: Bacterial small subunit ribosomal RNA
Source: RNAcentral
ACGUAGGGGGCGAGCGUUAUACGGAAUUAUUGGGCGUAAAGAGUGCGUAGGUGGUCUUGUAAGCGGGGGGUGAAAGGCAUCGGCUUAACCGAUGUUAGCCCCCCGAACUGUGAGACUUGAGUACAGGAGAGGAAAGCGGAAUUCCUAGUGUUGGGGUGAAUGGCGUAGAUAUGAGAAGGAAGACCAGUGGCGUAGGCGGCUUUCUGGACUUAAACUGACACUGAGCCUCGAAAGUGUGGUGAGCAUACAG